GCUCGAAUAUUCGUUUAAAACACGGCAGCUCCACCGUCUACGGCAGCGGCCGGUGGCAAACAACUUUCAAAUUAACACCAAUGAACCUCCUCACCCUCCUUACCCUAACCAUGCCACUGAUUAUUCUCGAACACGUCUGAAACUCAUCAAAUAUAUGCCUGAAGAUGGCAGCUCCGCCAUGCACGGCGGUGCUGCCGUCCAACACCCUUCAAACACCAUACCCACCCUCCUCUAGCCCUUAUCCACCCAAAAUCCCACCUAAACCCACUCAAAUAGUCCAAGAACUUCCCCAGUGUCGCCACCAACCAGUUGAGGUUUAAGUCAAAGAUUGGAGAUCACUCGAGGAUUUGAGUUCACUCCGGCAGUGAUAGACUGAAGAAAUAUGAUAAGUCCAUCUUCCUCUUUUUAAUUUUAGUUUUAUUUUUCUUAUGCUUAUGAUUUUUUUGCCUGUUCUGAGCAAAUUAGGGCUGUUAGUGCAAAUUUUAAUUGUUUUUAGCAAAAUCUCAAAUUUGUUAAGCUGAUUAUAUGUUAGUUUCAUUUAUGAUUGUGCUCAGUAGUUAGUUUUGGCAUUCCUGUUGUUCUUUCCUAUGAAAAAAGAACUAAAUUCAUGUCUUUUGCUUGCACAAUCAGAAUGUUCAAAUCCGUUAAGCAAUCCAGGUGUCUUGUUUAAACUAUUUUCCCAAUUCAUGGAUGAUGUUAGAGUAAUAGAGUUGGUUUGGGUUCAAUAGGGUCCGAUGGGCUCAAUUUCUUGCCUCUCUCGCUUUCUUUUAUAGUUGUUGGCCCAGGCAGCAUCACUCAUCUGAGAUUCAACACCCAGAUAAUUAGCGAUUGAGAAAUUGUUAAUUGGGAUGUAGUCCUGGACCCAACCCAUGAGCCCUGUAAGGUUCCGGGGUAAAUAAUAGGGCUAUUGAGGGUAACUUGAGUAGUGUAAGUAUUUUAGUAAUGGAAUAGAAGUAUCCAGAAUUUUCUAGUGUGAGGGUUCAAAUGAGGUUAUCAGGUUUUUGGGUAGUAAAACUUGGUCCACAAGUUAAAAAUAAAAGGACCAAACUGCAAAAAAUAAGCAUAAAGGUUGCCCUACUUGCCUUGAUUAUAAGAGGACCUAUUCUUGCCUUUCAAGGCAAGGCUAGAGGUUAGGAUUCACAGGAUACACAGACAAUCAAAUCUUACAUUGUUCCAUUGAUUUAUUUCUUUAAAAAACUUCCCAUUAUGAUAGAGGUUUAAGCAUCGGUACAAAGUUGAGUCCAAGGAUUUGUUUGGCACCAUUGAGGUGUUUGUUCAUUGAUUGUGUCGUUUACUGGGUUCAUCCUUGCCUAUUUUGUGUUCUGCUGGGUUUAAAUGGCUUUACUGUGGUUCUAUUGUUCGCCAUCUACUGCUGUUGACCUCACUUUUCCUUCAUAUUCGCAAUUUCCAGGUACACUCACUAAGCCUGAUGCAAUGUAGAAAUCUUGUUGAAAUUCGAGAUGAAGUCAACUGCAAAGUUUUGCUAUAAAUUUGUUGUUCACUGUUCUUACAUUUUGAGUAGAUUCCUUGAUUUUGUUAAAUUUUUGAAUGUCAAUAAAUCUGGACUGUAUGAGACUGUAAAAGACCAUUGAAUUGUGUUCGGUAGUAUUAGAUUUGAGUUAGUAUAUUGUGCAUUACUAUGCUAGUCAUGUGUUAAUUCAUAGUCAGGA
RNAcentral lists this long non-coding RNA (1670 nucleotides) under Nicotiana benthamiana. Its description in RNAcentral is "long non-coding RNA (NBEN_LNC034356)". Lineage: Eukaryota; Viridiplantae; Streptophyta; Magnoliopsida; Solanales; Solanaceae. The record is from RNAcentral.